UAUAGUAGUAUUUGAGGUCCACCCGUUCCCAUUCCGAACACGGAAGUUAAGCUCACCAGUGCCGACAAUACUUGUCUGGAGACGGACCGGGAAGAUAGGUCAAUGC
RNAcentral lists this ribosomal RNA (106 nucleotides) under Bacillota bacterium. Lineage: Bacteria; Bacillati; Bacillota. The record is from RNAcentral.